AUGCCGGGCGUUGCCCCGGGUACGCUUCUUCAUUGGCUCGCCCACUUGGACCGGUGUUGGACCGCUGACCGCCUCGCCCGUCACGGCUUGCAGCACCCCGCAUGCUGCCCACUCUGUGACCAGGCGCCGGAGACCCUCCAACAUCUCCUCCUCGCCUGCCCGUUCUCCCGGCAGGUAUGGUAUGAAAUCCUGAGCUGGCUAAGGGUUCCCUGCAACCCGCCUGAUGGCGAGCCAUCAACCAACACCUGGUGGCUCUCCGUGCGGCAGCACACGCCCAAGCCUAUGCGCAAGGGCCUCGCCUCGGCGACACUACUCAUUCCU
This 321-nucleotide ribosomal RNA is filed under the name Triticum aestivum (bread wheat). Its description in RNAcentral is "partial small subunit ribosomal RNA". The record is from RNAcentral. Lineage: Eukaryota; Viridiplantae; Streptophyta; Magnoliopsida; Poales; Poaceae.